GACGAACGCUGGCGGCGGGCUUAACACAUGCAAGUCGAACGGAAAGGCCCUGCUUUUGUGGGGUGCUCGAGUGGCGAACGGGUGAGUAACACGUGAGUAACAUGCCCUCGACUUUGGGAUAACUUCAGGAAACAGGGGCAAAUACCGGCUAGGAGCUCCUGCUGCCUGGUGGGGGUUGGAAAGUUUCGGCGGGUGGGGAUGGACGCGCGGCUGAUCAGAUGGUGGGGGGGGUAGUGGCUUACCAAGGCUUUGCCGGGUAGCCGGCCUGAGAGGGUGACCGGCCACCUUGCGACUGAGGUACGGCCCAGACUCCUACGGGAGGCAGCAGGGGGGAAUAUUGCGCAACGGGCGGAAGCCUAUUGCAGCGACCCCGCGUGCGUGAAGACGGCCUUCGGGUUGUAAACCGCGUUCGCCUGUGACGAAGCGUGAGUGACGGUAAUGGGUAAAGAAGCACCGGCUAACUACGUG
Molecule: ribosomal RNA, 468 nt
Filed under: uncultured bacterium
Lineage: Bacteria
Description: partial 16S ribosomal RNA
Rfam family: Bacterial small subunit ribosomal RNA
Source: RNAcentral